CACUCCUGCGGGAGGCAGCAGUGGGGAAUAUUGCACAAUGGGCGCAAGCCUGAUGCAGCCAUGCCGCGUGUAUGAAGAAGGCCUUCGGGUUGUAAAGUACUUUCAGCGGGGAGGAAGGCAAUACGGUUAAUAACCGUGUUGAUUGACGUUACCCGCAGAAGAAGCACCGGCUAACUCCGUGCCAGCAGCCGCGGUAAUACGGAGGGUGCAAGCGUUAAUCGGAAUUACUGGGCGUAAAGCGCACGCAGGCGGUCUGUCAAGUCGGAUGUGAAAUCCCCGGGCUCAACCUGGGAACUGCAUUCGAAACUGGCAGGCUUGAGUCUUGUAGAGGGGGGUAGAAUUCCAGGUGUAGCGGUGAAAUGCGUAGAGAUCUGGAGGAAUACCGGUGGCGAAGGCGGCCCCCUGGACAAAGACUGACGCUCAGGUGCGAAAGCGUGGGGAGCAAACAGGAUUAGAAACCUAGUAGUCCC
RNAcentral lists this ribosomal RNA (470 nucleotides) under uncultured organism. Its description in RNAcentral is "partial 16S ribosomal RNA". It matches the Rfam family "Bacterial small subunit ribosomal RNA", at positions 334 to 797 of the family's 1533-position model. The record is from RNAcentral.